GCGGGUGUAGUUCAGAGGCAGAACAUUAGCUUCCCAAGCUAAGAACGCGGGUUCGAUUCCCGUCACCCGCUCCA
Molecule: transfer RNA, 74 nt
Filed under: Acidimicrobiia bacterium
Lineage: Bacteria; Bacillati; Actinomycetota; Acidimicrobiia
Also listed under: 1 other name
Description: tRNA-Gly
Rfam family: tRNA
About the family: Transfer RNA (tRNA) molecules are approximately 80 nucleotides in length. Their secondary structure includes four short double-helical elements and three loops (D, anti-codon, and T loops).
Source: RNAcentral